Molecule: long non-coding RNA, 740 nt
Organism: Bubalus bubalis (water buffalo)
Lineage: Eukaryota; Metazoa; Chordata; Mammalia; Artiodactyla; Bovidae
Exons: 5
Source: RefSeq, a predicted model, not a curated record
AUAGGCGAGUCCUUAUAAGAGGAGGCGUCAGGGUUGUCAUGCGAGAACACAGUGCCUGCCAGCAGGAGGGCUCUCACCAGAAACCCACCCUGCCAGGCCCACACCUUGCAUUCCCAAGCCUUCAGAAAUAUUCCACAUGGACCUGACUUGCUCACAUGUAAAAGAUGCAGUUGGAGAAGAGGAACGCAUACAGGUCCUCAAGACAAGAUCAGCGGCGAGCUACCUACUGGAUGUGACAAGACGGACGUUUCAGCCGCAGUUUCUGCAGAAGCUGCUGGAAGACUCUGUCUUUCAAUGCAGCUUGACAUGAACCACUCUGAGUGUUUGUUAGGACUCCCCAGUUUGCAAAUAUAUCUAUGGAAUACAUGCUGUUCUGUGCCUGGCCCACAAAACCAAGCGAGUCGGAGUUGGUUUCUGCUUUGCUGUGGUUCUCUGACAAUUGAAGGCAAUAAUUAAUGCUGGUAUGCUGGCAAAGACUGAAGGCAUGAGGAGAAGGGGACAACGGAGGAUGGCAUCACUGACUCAAUGGACAAUGAGACUGAGCAAGCUCCGGGAGAUGGUUUGGUGAUGGUGACAGGAUCUGAAGGAAACUUCUGGCAGCUUUGAAGAGACGAGAAACACAGGUAGGAAACCACUGACUUCUCUCUCCCACCGUUACAAAGGCUGCGGGUGAGUUCCCUUGGUUUUGAGCUCUGCUCUUUGCAUUGAGCUCCUGAUGACAUUUAAUUGGCUUUCCAGUC